CCUACGGGUGGCAGCAGUGAGGAAUAUUGGUCAAUGGGCGGAAGCCUGAACCAGCCAAGUAGCGUGCAGGAUGACGGCCCUACGGGUUGUAAACCGCUUUUAUCCGGGAACAACGCGCCUUACGUGUACGGCUUUGCAUGUACCGUAUGAAUAAGGAUCGGCUAAUUCCGUGCCAGCAGCCGCGGUAAUACGGAAGGUGCGGGCGUUAUCCGGAUUUAUUGGGUUUAAAGGGGGCGUAGGCCGCAUGUCAAGCGUGCUGUGAAAUGUCCGGGCUCAACCCGGGCCUUGCAGCGCGAACUGGCGUGCUUGAGUCCGCGGAAAGCAGGCGGAAUUCGUGGUGUAGCGGUGAAAUGCUUAGAUAUGACGAAGAACCCCGAUUGCGAAGGCAGCUUACUGGAGCGGAACUGACGCUGAUGCACGAAAGCGCGGGUAUCGAACAGGAUUAGAUACCCUAGUAGUC
RNAcentral lists this ribosomal RNA (460 nucleotides) under uncultured bacterium. Its description in RNAcentral is "partial 16S ribosomal RNA". It matches the Rfam family "Bacterial small subunit ribosomal RNA", at positions 338 to 795 of the family's 1533-position model. The record is from RNAcentral.